This 268-nucleotide unclassified non-coding RNA is filed under the name plant metagenome. Its description in RNAcentral is "partial contains small subunit ribosomal RNA, internal transcribed spacer 1, and 5.8S ribosomal RNA". The stretch from base 1 to 54 matches the Rfam family "Eukaryotic small subunit ribosomal RNA", at positions 1778 to 1831 of the family's 1831-position model. The record is from RNAcentral.
GGAAGUGAAAGUCGUAACAAGGUUUCCGUAGGUGAACCUGCGGAAGGAUCAUUAAAGAGUUUAGGGUCUUCGGGCUCGACCUCCAACCCUUUGUUUAAUUACCAUGUUGCUUUGGCGGACCCGUCUAACGACCGCCAGAAGUUGGGGGAAUCCCUCCAACCUUUUGGCCCGUGUCUGUCAAUGGCCCUAUUCAAAUUCUUGAUAAAUUGUGAUGUCUGAGUUAUAAACUUAAUCGUUAAAACUUUCAACAACGGAUCUCUUGGUUCUG